Molecule: ribosomal RNA, 203 nt
Filed under: Klebsiella pneumoniae
Lineage: Bacteria; Pseudomonadati; Pseudomonadota; Gammaproteobacteria; Enterobacterales; Enterobacteriaceae
Description: partial 23S ribosomal RNA
Rfam family: Bacterial large subunit ribosomal RNA
Source: RNAcentral
UGCCCGGUAGCUAAAUGCGGAAGAGAUAAGUGCUGAAAGCAUCUAAGCACGAAACUUGCCCGAGAUGAGUUCUCCCUGAGACUUUAAGUCUCCUGAAGGAACGUUGAAGACGACGACGUUGAUAGGCCGGGUGUGUAAGCGCAGCGAUGCGUUGAGCUAACCGGUACUAAUGAACCGUGAGGCUUAACCUUACAACGCCGAAG